Molecule: ribosomal RNA, 497 nt
Filed under: uncultured bacterium
Lineage: Bacteria
Description: partial 16S ribosomal RNA
Rfam family: Bacterial small subunit ribosomal RNA
Source: RNAcentral
GAUGAACGCUGGCGGCGUGCCUAAUACAUGCAAGUCGAGCGAACAGACGAGGAGCUUGCUCCUCUGACGUUAGCGGCGGACGGGUGAGUAACACGUGGAUAACCUACCUAUAAGACUGGGAUAACUUCGGGAAACCGGAGCUAAUACCGGAUAAUAUAUUGAACCGCAUGGUUCAAUAGUGAAAGACGGUUUUGCUGUCACUUAUAGAUGGAUCCGCGCCGCAUUAGCUAGUUGGUAAGGUAACGGCUUACCAAGGCAACGACGCGUAGCCGACCUGAGAGGGUGAUCGGCCACACUGGAACUGAGACACGGUCCAGACUCCUACGGGAGGCAGCAGUAGGGAAUCUUCCGCAAUGGGCGAAAGCCUGACGGAGCAACGCCGCGUGAGUGAUGAAGGUCUUCGGAUCGUAAAACUCUGUUAUUAGGGAAGAACAAAUGUGUAAGUAACUAUGCACGUCUUGACGGUACCUAAUCAGAAAGCCGCGGCUAACUACGUG